Molecule: non-coding RNA, 23 nt
Filed under: Cricetulus griseus (Chinese hamster)
Lineage: Eukaryota; Metazoa; Chordata; Mammalia; Rodentia; Cricetidae
Source: RNAcentral
AUAUAUAUGGAAGCAAAAUGUUG